Molecule: ribosomal RNA, 469 nt
Filed under: uncultured bacterium
Lineage: Bacteria
Description: partial 16S ribosomal RNA
Rfam family: Bacterial small subunit ribosomal RNA
Source: RNAcentral
GACGAACGCUGGCGGCGUGCUUAACACAUGCAAGUCGAACGGAAAGGCCCUGCUUGCCGGGUGCUCGAGUGGCGAACGGGUGAGUAACACGUGGGUGAUCUGCCCCUUACUUUGGGAUAAGCCUGGGAAACUGGGUCUAAUACUGGAUAGGACCAUGCUGUAGGUGGUGUGGUGGAAAGAUUAGUUUCGGUAAGGGAUGAGCUCGCGGCCUAUCAGCUUGUUGGUGGGGUAAUGGCCUACCAAGGCGUCGACGGGUAGCCGGCCUGGGAGGGUGGACGGCCACAUUGGGACUGAGAUACGGCCCAGACUCCUACGGGAGGCAGCAGAGGGGAAUAUUGCACAAUGGGCGCAAGCCUGAUGCAGCGACGCCGCGUGGGGGAUGACGGCCUUCGGGUUGUAAACUCCUUUCAGCCAUGACGAAGCCCUUGUGGUGACGGUAGUGGUAGAAGAAGCACCGGCUAACUACGUG